GGGUCGUUAGCUCAGUCGGUAGAGCAGCUGGCUUUUAACUAGUUGGUCGCUGGUUCGAAUCCAGCACGACCCACCA
This 76-nucleotide transfer RNA is filed under the name Sinimarinibacterium sp. NLF-5-8. Its description in RNAcentral is "tRNA-Lys". It matches the Rfam family "tRNA". From Rfam's summary of the family: Transfer RNA (tRNA) molecules are approximately 80 nucleotides in length. Their secondary structure includes four short double-helical elements and three loops (D, anti-codon, and T loops). Further hydrogen bonds mediate the characteristic L-shaped molecular structure. tRNAs have two regions of fundamental functional importance: the anti-codon, which is responsible for specific mRNA codon recognition, and the 3' end, to which the tRNAs corresponding amino acid is attached (by aminoacyl-tRNA synthetases). tRNAs cope with the degeneracy of the genetic code in two manners: having more than one tRNA (with a specific anti-codon) for a particular amino acid; and 'wobble' base-pairing, i.e. permitting non-standard base-pairing at the 3rd anti-codon position. The record is from RNAcentral. Lineage: Bacteria; Pseudomonadati; Pseudomonadota; Gammaproteobacteria; Nevskiales; Nevskiaceae.